RNAcentral lists this ribosomal RNA (251 nucleotides) under uncultured bacterium. RNAcentral describes it as "partial 16S ribosomal RNA". It matches the Rfam family "Bacterial small subunit ribosomal RNA", at positions 87 to 339 of the family's 1533-position model. The record is from RNAcentral.
GUAAGAUAGUGGCGGACGGGUGAGUAACGCGUAGGUGACCUACCUUAAGGCGGGGGACAACUCCGAGAAAUCGGGGCUAAUACCGCGUAUGCUCUCGAUUCAAAUUGAGAGUGAAAGUCUUUCGGGACGCCUUUUGAGGGGCCUGCGUUCGAUUAGCUUGUUGGUGGGGUAAUGGCCUACCAAGGCGAAGAUCGAUAGCUGGUCUGAGAGGAUGAUCAGCCACACUGGGACUGAGAUACGGCCCAGACUCC